CCCCGAGGGAGGUUUCAGCUGCUGGUGUGUCUCCCCUUAACGGAGCUUCAUCGGAGGAGAAGGGUGCUCCAGCCCCGCUGCUGCCGCCACCAACCCCAUGUGCUGAGGUGGAGAUCGUUCAACCUGAGGCGGUGUCAUUAUUGGUUGUCGCUUCUACUCUAGCAAGAGUCAUGGUCCCUUCGCAGGCAAGAGGGCGCCGGGUGGACCAUCCUUCUUCUCUUCGUGACACGCAGGGCCUAGAUGUGGAGGAUUGGAGGCGAGUCGAAUCGGCUUCGUCUCUUCACGCUAUCCGCCCAGCAGGAGAUGGAGAAGCUCCGUGUGGGGGUCGUCCAUUCCAUGGCAAAGUAGCAUGAACUUGUUGAGCUCUGCUCUAAGACCAAACGACUUGAGAGUGAGGUGACCCAACUACAUUCUAAGGGCGAAUGUGCCUGGGUCGAAGCCAAUCACCUUCAUGUAGAGGAGACCCAACUCCAGGGGGCCUUCAUGAGGUGAGCUUCCGGGUCAGCGAGGCCGAGUCAUCCCUUGGUAAGGCCAACGUCCACCUGGAGAGGACAAAUGCAGAGCUUUCGUGAGAGCACGACGCUACAGGGGAGCUCUGGAAGAUGUUUUCUCGGGCUGAUGACGCCAAGAGAACAACAUAGGAGGUGAAGGCAACAAUUGUGGCCUAGGUGCGAGAGCUUUCGCUUGCUGGCGAUGACGCCAUUCUCGUAUUGGCCGAGACGGUCACUGCACUCUUCGAGCAGAGCACGGGCUUUAGGAGUUCCGCCUGGUCGUUGGCAAGGUGUGCGCCUUGCUUUUGUCGUCGCCUCUAAUCGAGGUGCCCUUGGUCGACUGGUUGCGGUCGCUUCCUGGCCAUGUGGAGCAUGUCAUCGUUGAGGGUGUGUUCCAUGGGAGCGACCUAGCUCUUGGGUAGGUGGUCUCUUACUUUGAUGAGAUCUACGUUGUUGUGAUCGCCGAAGGCUUCGCCUUGGGCCAAAUUGACGAGGAGCUAGACUCUAUUAAAGAUCAAGUCCACACUUACGCUAGAUUGCUCGCCGAACGGGUGGAUGUGAAGCCCCUGCUGACUGGCCCCUGAAGUCUAGCAUCGCCCGCUAGUGACCUGCCCACUAGCGCCAAGGUCGCUUCUUGUUUUUGUCCCUUUUUGUAAUAAUUUCCUUGGAUGGACAAGAUCUCCACAUGACAUGUUAUUUCCGCUUCAAAACUUUCGCCCUUUGGAUUCCGGUCUCAA
Long non-coding RNA from Zea mays, 1228 nucleotides. RefSeq lists it as uncharacterized. The transcript has 2 exons. NCBI's taxonomy places the organism in Eukaryota, Viridiplantae, Streptophyta, Magnoliopsida, Poales, Poaceae. The record is from RefSeq and is a predicted model, not a curated record.